AAAUGCGUAGAUAUCGGGAAGAACACCAGUGGCGAAGGCGGCUUACUGGCCAGCAACUGACGCUGAGGCGCGAAAGCCAGGGGAGCUGAACGGYGAUUAGAUACCCCGGUAGUCCUGGCCGUAAACGAUGAAUGCUAGGUGUGGGUGUCGAGAGGCAUCCGUGCCGGAGUUAACGCGAUAAGCAUUCCGCCUGGGGAGUACGGUCGCAAGAUUGAAACUCAAAGGAAUUGACGGGGGCCCGCACAAGCGGUGGAGCACGUGGUUUAAUUCGAUGCAAACCGAAGAACCUUACCUAGGUUUGACAUGUACGUGGUACGGAUCUGAAAGGAGAAAGACCUAGCCCUUUCGGGCCAAGGAGCGUACACAGGUGCUUGCAUGGCUUGUCGUCAGCUCGUGUCGUGAGAUGUUGGGUUAAGUCCCAACGAGCGCAACCCCUUGCAUUCAGUACCAU
This 451-nucleotide ribosomal RNA is filed under the name uncultured bacterium. Its description in RNAcentral is "bacterial SSU rRNA". It matches the Rfam family "Bacterial small subunit ribosomal RNA", at positions 684 to 1121 of the family's 1533-position model. The record is from RNAcentral.